Molecule: long non-coding RNA, 1702 nt
Organism: Halichondria panicea
Lineage: Eukaryota; Metazoa; Porifera; Demospongiae; Suberitida; Halichondriidae
Exons: 6
Source: RefSeq, a predicted model, not a curated record
AGGCAUUAAUAAGAGAACGGUUAGCCAGGCAAUUUAACCCUUUCGCAACGCUGAGUCAGCACUAUCGAUGGCUCAACGCUGAGUCAGCACCACUCAACACUGUAGUCCAGAGGCUAAUGGGAUCUCUCAGAUCUACUAUUGUGCUGGACUUCUCUUAAAUUGUGAGGGACAAUCUUGCCGGAGUGGUUCCCAGUGUCUCCUAAGCAGAUCAUGUGUACAUGUUUACACACAGUGCAAUGGAUAGUGGCAUCUAGACAGAUCCUAUGUGACUGUUUCCCUUUCUCCAACUUUCUGAACCGCUCGAAUAUCUUGUCUCUGGCUAGUUUAAGGAGGGUUGUAACCAGGUAAUCAAUCCGUCUAUUUUGCUUGUGCUGAAGGUAAACAACUUUCAGAGUUCGAUGAAAAGUCUCUAAGUGCAUGUUGGUGUUCACUGUGGUGUGACACCUGUAUGCAUAAGCCCAUUGAUCUAAGCGAGUUGUAUAGUGCAUCUGAAAGUAAGAGAAGAACUUCUUUUGUUUUUGACUAACUUCUGUAAUGAAGUGUUGGAGGCAUAAACGAAAUUUUGAUUUAUCUAGCUCUGUAAGGAGUAAACGGAGCUGAUGGUAAAUUUCUAUUUGAUCACUCCUAUUGGGUACAUACUCUUGGAGUGCAUGACGCCAAGCUCUGUCUAUAUGCCAUGUACAGAGUAGCUUUUUGGUUUGGUUGUCUCCAAAUACAGCUCUCCAUGCAGUAAAGAACUGUUCUGCGUCGUCGGACAUAAACCAUUGAGGAGAGAUGUCCCCUGUUUUCUCUUUAACAGCCUUGAAAAAUUCCACAAGAAUCAAAGAGUCUUGCCGGUUUGAAAUCAUCCAUGCAACAGGUACUCCUUCAUUGUACUCGUCCAGGACGAGUAAGGUUAACAAAUUAAAGUCGUACAUGUUUGUACCAUGAGUAGUGUCGAUACACAUAGUUAAAGAACCAAACUGCCUCAUCAUGUCCCUUUGAAAUUCAGUUUGAAUUCCUAUAAUAAAAUCGUUAUCACUAACAUUGUCUAUUUUAUGACCUUGCUUUAGUCCUUGUUGCUUGAAGAUUAUUACUGGGUUGUGGGUUAGUGUUGACAUUUCUAGUACCCAUGCUGUUAAGCUAGUUAAGUCGUUGGCAUGUCUCAUAAUGCCCUCAAUGUUGUAUUGAUUCUUAAUGUUAUGCAGGUCUUGCUUCGUGACUAAGUGCUCUCUGUGUAGCUUACCAGGUACUGAGUCAUAGAUGUCGUCAAGAAUGCGCUCUAUUGGGGUACCCUGGUAUAGUUUACCAGCCAUCUCCAUUCGCUUGGAAGUAGAAAUUCAUCAAAAGUAUGAAAAUUGGCUUCGUUCACUUCCAUGUUCAUAUUGUGGCUCAAUUGUAAAUGAGCUAUAAGAUCAGCGAUUGUCUUCAAUCUACACGAAGAACAUGUCUGCUAGUGGCCGUUUCUUGAGUGUGGCCAAUGAGUUGCUCGACAAUACUGGAGCCAAAGACAAUUGCCGGUACACAUCGUCAAGGUAUCUCAGAAGCUCUACUGUGCACGUCUUGCCUGUAUGUAUGGAUUCGUUGCUACGGCAGGACAUUCAUAGUUAUAAUUAAUUAUACGGACUAUAUACACAAGACUUAAUAAUGUCCUUAUUUAUUGUGUUACCUGAAUUACACAGCGUGCACUCUUCUUCGUUAUGAUUCUCUGCAAUAUGCCUCA